CCUACGGGUGGCAGCAGUGAGGAAUAUUGGGCAAUGGACGAGAGUCUGAACCAGCCAAGCAGCGUGAAGGAUGACUGCCCUAUGGGUUGUAAACUUCUUUUAUAUGGGAAUAAAAUGUUCCACGUGUGGGAUUUUGUAUGUACCAUAUGAAUAAGGAUCGGCUAACUCCGUGCCAGCAGCCGCGGUAAUACGGAGGAUCCGAGCGUUAUACGGAUUUAUUGGGUUUAAAGGGAGCGUAGGUGGAUUGUUAAGUCAGUUGUGAAAGUUUGCGGCUGAACCGUAAAAUUGCAGUUGAAACUGGCAGUCUUGAGUACUGUAGAGGUGGGCGGAAUUCGUGGUGUAGCGGUGAAAUGCGUAGAUAUCACGAAGAACUCCGAUUGCGAAGGCAGUUCACUGGACUGCAACUGACACUGAGGCUCGAAAGUGUGGGUAUCAAACAGGAUUAGAUACCCCUGUAGUC
RNAcentral lists this ribosomal RNA (460 nucleotides) under uncultured bacterium. RNAcentral describes it as "partial 16S ribosomal RNA". It matches the Rfam family "Bacterial small subunit ribosomal RNA", at positions 338 to 795 of the family's 1533-position model. The record is from RNAcentral.